RNAcentral lists this ribosomal RNA (492 nucleotides) under uncultured bacterium. RNAcentral's name for it is "partial 16S ribosomal RNA". It matches the Rfam family "Bacterial small subunit ribosomal RNA", at positions 29 to 507 of the family's 1533-position model. The record is from RNAcentral.
AGUGAACGCUGGCGGUAGGCCUAACACAUGCAAGUCGAACGGCAGCACAGUAAGAGCUUGCUCUUACGGGUGGCGAGUGGCGGACGGGUGAGGAAUACAUCGGAAUCUACUUUUUCGUGGGGGAUAACGUAGGGAAACUUACGCUAAUACCGCAUACGACCUACGGGUGAAAGCAGGGGAUCUUCGGACCUUGCGCGAUUGAAUGAGCCGAUGUCGGAUUAGCUAGUUGGCGGGGUAAAGGCCCACCAAGGCGACGAUCCGUAGCUGGUCUGAGAGAAUGAUAAGCGACAGUGGAAGUGAGACACCGUCCAGACUCCUACGGGAGGCAGCAGUGGGGAAUAUUGGGCGAUGGGCGCAAGCCUGAUCCAGCCAUACCGCGUGGGUGAAGGAGGCAUUCGGGUUGUAAAGCCCUUUUGUUGGGAAAGAAAAGCAGCAGGUUAAUACGCCGCUGUUAUGACGGUACCCAAAGAAUAAGCACCGGCUAACUUCGUG